RNAcentral lists this ribosomal RNA (665 nucleotides) under uncultured Micromonosporaceae bacterium. RNAcentral describes it as "bacterial SSU rRNA". It matches the Rfam family "Bacterial small subunit ribosomal RNA", at positions 136 to 816 of the family's 1533-position model. Lineage: Bacteria; Bacillati; Actinomycetota; Actinomycetes; Micromonosporales; Micromonosporaceae. The record is from RNAcentral.
CUUUGGGAUAACCCUCGGAAACGGGGGCUAAUACCGGAUAUGACCUCCUGUCGCAUGGUGGGGGGUGGAAAGUUUUUCGGCCUGGGAUGGGCUCGCGGCCUAUCAGCUUGUUGGUGGGGUGAUGGCCUACCAAGGCGACGACGGGUAGCCGGCCUGAGAGGGCGACCGACCACACUGGGACAGAGACACGGCCCAGACUCCUACGGGAGGCAGCAGUGGGGAAUAUUGCACAGUGGGCGGAAGCCUGAUGCAGCGACGCCGCGUGAGGGAUGACGGCCUUCGGGUUGUAAACCUCUUUCAGCAGGGACGAAGCGCAAGUGACGGUACCUGCAGAAGAAGCGCCGGCCAACUACGUGCCAGCAGCCGCGGUAAGACGUAGGGCGCGAGCGUUGUCCGGAUUUAUUGGGCGUAAAGAGCUCGUAGGCGGCUUGUCGCGUCGACCGUGAAAACUUGGGGCUCAACCCCAAGCCUGCGGUCGAUACGGGCAGGCUAGAGUUCGGUAGGGGAGACUGGAAUUCCUGGUGUAGCGGUGAAAUGCGCAGAUAUCAGGAGGAACACCGGUGGCGAAGGCGGGUCUCUGGGCCGAUACUGACGCUGAGGAGCGAAAGCGUGGGGAGCGAACAGGAUUAGAUACCCAGGUAGUCCACGCUGUAAACGUUGGGCGC